Molecule: ribosomal RNA, 487 nt
Filed under: Pentaria badia
Lineage: Eukaryota; Metazoa; Arthropoda; Insecta; Coleoptera; Scraptiidae
Description: partial 16S ribosomal RNA
Rfam family: Archaeal large subunit ribosomal RNA (bases 362-487)
Source: RNAcentral
UUUAAAGUCGGGCCUGCUCCAUGAUAUUUAAAUAGCUGCAGUAUUUUGACUGUACAAAGGUAGCAUAAUCAAUAGUUUCUUAAUUAGAAGCUGGAAUGAAUGGUUUGAUAAGAAAAUAACUGUCUUAAUAUAAAUAAUAAAAUUUUAUUUUUAAUUUAAAAAGAUUAAAUUUUUUAAAAAGACGAGAAGACCCUAUAGAGUUUAAUAAAACUUUAAGUUUAAAUUUUAGUUUAUAUUAAUUAUAUUUAAAUUUUUAUUUGGUUGGGGUGAUUAGUAAAUUUAAAAAACUUUAUUUUAUAAAAACAUAAAUUUAUGAAUAAAUGAUCUUAAUUUUUAGAUUAAAAGAUUAAAUUACCUUAGGGAUAACAGCGUUAUUUAUUUAGAGAGUUCAAAUCGAUAAAUAAGUUUGCGACCUCGAUGUUGGAUUAAAAUUAAAUUUGGUGAAGAAGCUAAAUUGUUAAGUCUGUUCGACUUUUAAAAUUUUACA